UCUAAAAUCUUGAUAGAUUCAAAGAAAGCUGUAUUGGAAAGGUGGCUGGAGAUGGAAUUUACAAUAACGCUUGAUGGAAUUUGUGCGACUAUGAAGCACCAGAUUGAAAUGAGAAGGCCAGCAAGGGUUUGCAUCAGUGCUUUUCUUAAGUCUGGUAUUGUGAUUCAGAAAGUAUUGAUGGGAACAGAAAAGAGCGAGACACAGAAGGAGAAAAAAAGUUUGGAUAACCAACUACAAAUCCACCAAACCAACACCCGAGAAACAAGUGAAACAGAAAAAGCAGCUGAUUUCUGGAAAAAAAACAGUAGGCUCAUGCAAUCUUAACAUUCUUUUUUCAACUUCAUUUGUUCUACAUGUAAAUUUGGGACGAUGCUGUCAUUAUAUUGGAAAAUUAUUCUAACAGUCAUGUAGUAAUUUUCAUGUCAGUCUUUUGAACAUUACCAUUAUUUGAACAUAUUGUUGUUAAUGAAACACAACUGUUUUGUGUAUGUAAAAUACAAAGAUUGAUUGAACCCAGA
This is a long non-coding RNA of Daphnia pulicaria, 518 nucleotides long. RefSeq lists it as uncharacterized. The transcript has 3 exons. The record is from RefSeq and is a predicted model, not a curated record. Lineage: Eukaryota; Metazoa; Arthropoda; Branchiopoda; Diplostraca; Daphniidae.